CCUGCCUUUCCGUCGGUGGUGACUGAAUAAGCUCGGUUGCAGGUAAAAAAAGCAAGAGCUAAGAAAUAGAGAUCCAGCUCCAAGAUCCACACUCGGCCUGGUGAGCACUAGAAAAUGGAAUGCCGUGUGUGGCAGGGGCCCUCGUACAACGUAAUGUAAUAAAUUGGCCGUCAUUGUGUGCCGGUGGCGUUGGCCGGCACAUGCACCUACAGCACUGAAGUUUGGAUUUUUUUUUGUACAUCAUGGCACUUUUAUCUAUCCUAAUAACGUGGAAUAUGGGUAACCCAAUUAGAAAUACAGUUUAUGUAUCCUCAAAUAUCUAUGUAACUUUACGACAUGUGAGCAAAAUAGGAUACAUAAAUCAACUAAAUCAUUAUAUGCUGAAUUAUAUAUAUAUAUAUAUAUAUAUAUUCUUAUUUCUUACCA
Molecule: long non-coding RNA, 426 nt
Filed under: Elaeis guineensis (African oil palm)
Lineage: Eukaryota; Viridiplantae; Streptophyta; Magnoliopsida; Arecales; Arecaceae
Description: long non-coding RNA (EGUI_LNC006407)
Source: RNAcentral